RNAcentral lists this unclassified non-coding RNA (540 nucleotides) under Hevea brasiliensis (rubber tree). Lineage: Eukaryota; Viridiplantae; Streptophyta; Magnoliopsida; Malpighiales; Euphorbiaceae. The record is from RNAcentral.
AGACACAUGAAAGGCCUAUAGAAACAAUGGCUCAUAAAUAUUGUCCUCUUGUACCAUCAAUUUUCCAUUCCACCCAUAAAGUGCUCUAUUUUCUUUGUAACAUCUGCUUCCCUUGUCCGGACUCAUACACAUUCUUAGCCUAGUGCAAGGCCACAUGGGCAAUACCUCAAAAUUCCAACAAAACAACCUCUCAAUUUGGCAAAUCUCUUCACUGUCGGUCUGAACUUUGUCAUGGUGUCUUUCUGAAAAAUAAAAAGAAAAACCCCUAACAAAAAAAUGUCACUUGAGAUGGAUCAAGAGCACCCCAAGUUGAAAUUGAAGAAAUGAGCACAACUUUUUUUUUUCCCCAGAACUUGAUUCUCCGGUGAUCCAAAAUGUGACUUGGUUGAAAUUUUGCAAAAAUCCAAUCACCCUAGAUGCAUUUGCAAAAGGCUAAUUGAUUAGUUUUGAGAGAAACUUCAUAUACGCGAGCUCUAAAUCCAAUAUGAAUCACAUAGUACUCCACAUCUAAAUCCAAUAUGAAUCACAUAGUACUCCACA